CUUAAAAUCCUCUCGCAUGUAUCCAUCCCCAAUCGGAACAGAAGCACAAAACCUUCCCCUAGAAGGGACCACAGGGGCGGAAAUGUUCUGUCCUCCUCACUUCCAGGCUAUCCCACAGCUGAACGUGCACAAGGAUGCCACCUCAGGACCUGCUGACUAGUGAGUGAAGCCUCUCCAUCUCCCUAGCUGAACUGCUGGGGACACGCCGGCUUAGCCCUCCAGGACAGUCUUCCCUUUCUAUGUGUUUCUUCCAACUAAGUGUGCCAUCAUCCCUUAGCCGUGUGCCCUUGAGCCUUCACAAUUCCUAACUCUGGGCAGGCAAAUGGCGCAGUCUGGCUGAUCCAACGUCUUUGAAAGAAAAGCUGUAGUCAGAACCGAUGGCAUCUGGGAACCAGACAGACAUGCAAACACCAAUAAUUUGCUGAACCACUUUCCUAAUUUUCUUUGUCUUGGUGGUCUACAAAAAAACUAAGUAAGGUGAAAGGUGGUUGCUGGGACCUGGGGACGCCGCUGACUUCUCUAACAGCUCUUGAUGGGAUAGCUGAGGCUCCUCUCUGCUCACACCCAGCCUGCUGGCUUCUGAUUAGCCCUUAUCUACCCAGCCUCACCUCCACUCCUGACCGCAGCAGCUCUCCAUCUAGAUGGCUAUGUGGCUGUCCCUCCUGUUUACGUUUGCAGUCACAAAAGCCCAAGCCAAGGGAGCAGGUGUUUUGCGGACAUGCCUGUCUAUGCAUCAUGGACGUGCACACCAGUGCAGAGGACAGAAGAGAGCGGACGGGUCUCCUGGAAUCAGAGUUAUGGUGCUAGAAAUCAAACCCAGAACCUUGCAUAAUGCUAGGUACCACUCUACUACCCAGCCACAUCCCAGCAGCCGUUGGUUCUAUCCUUUGCCAACAGGCUUUGAAUGACAAUGGAUCUGUUCCCUCAAACACUGCUAAAGUCACUAAUGAAAUCCCAAGAGAGUCUUGCAGUGACACAGGGUUUGGGAUUCUAAAUGUGGUGGUGGCACACACAGGAGCUCCACUGACCUACAAUCUACCACAGAGAAAUCUGUUCAGAGUUGCCAGGUCAACAGGGAACAGCAGCAUUUACUACUACGAUCUCAAAGGCACUUCCCCUAAGCGGCACCCAUCCCAACUAUCCAGAAUUCUCGCCCUCGGCCCCACCCCCAACAGCAUCUUCUCAUUUUCCACCAAGGACUGAAGUUUUCGCUAGCACCCCAAGACCAUGCUAAAGCAGGCAAGUUGCAUUCCUUAAACCUCCUUCCUUCUGCUCUCCCAAACUACCUGUAACAGCAAAUAUUAUUUAUUUGUUUAUU
Molecule: long non-coding RNA, 1318 nt
Organism: Apodemus sylvaticus (European woodmouse)
Lineage: Eukaryota; Metazoa; Chordata; Mammalia; Rodentia; Muridae
Exons: 4
Source: RefSeq, a predicted model, not a curated record